UUAAUCAUCAAUCAUCAUCAACCAAGUUCAUCAAGUUAUUAUCAUUGUUGUGAAUCAAGUAAGUAAUAAUCAUUCUUUGUUUUUAUUGUGUUAUGUUGUUUUGUUUUAUGUAUUUAAGAAUACAAUGCCUGAAAAUUGAAGGAAAGUAGUUUCCAUUUUUGAUGAAGAAGACAACCUUCGUUGCCCUAAACCCAGAAACGUACCUUCAGUUCACGUACGCAAAAAAAAUUUCAAAAACCCAGAAACGUCAGUUCACGUACGUGGACAAAAUUUCAAAAUCCAAACCUUACGUGAAUUGAAAUAACGUAUGUAUACGUGAACUGAGUUCGCGUAAACUUACGUGAAUUGCAGUUUACGUACAUAACAAAUUUUUAAAAAAAAUUUACGUACGCAAUUUCAGUUCACGUACAUGGCUUAUUAUUCAUCAUUCAAUGAUUACGCAAUCUAAGUUUACGUAGGGGUACGUGAAUUCAGAUUGCGUAGAGUUUCAGAAUUUCAGUUUUUUAAAACAUACGUAAAAUCUCUAGAUUUACAAAAACAAAAAAUGGGAGUUAUUGGAUAUUAAAUGAUUUUGAGUAUUGAUAUGUGAGUUAUGAGUAUGAUGAAUGGGAGUUAUGGGAUAUUAAAUGUGUAAUAUUGAUGACAGGGGCAUUUUGGGCACUUUAUUUUUUUUUUAAAUUUGAGGGGUGUGAAUAGCAAUCUGGGGGGGUGAAUAGUGACAAAGUAAUUGUUUAGAACUCGUGUAAAAAAUCCAAAUUUCCAUAUUCUCUUUCUUUGAUGAUAUGUGGGGAGAUGGAAGGAAAAAAAAAUGCAGAGGGAGGAGGGAAAGGGAGGUCGUGCAGUGGUGGAGCAACUUUUCCAGGCUGACACGUCACGCCUAACAACCUAGCCACUACCCACACCAAUCUUCUUUCUUUUCUAUCAGAUCUGAUUUCUCUCUCUCCCUCACGCGCCUUCUCGUUUGAGUUCAGAAUCCGAGUUCUCAGUCUCGUUUGUGUUCUGAAUCUGGGUUUGAGUUCUGAUUUUGUGUUGGUCGAUCUGAGUUAUGUGUUCGUGUUUGAUUUCACGUUGGCGUUCAUUUUACAUUUUCUGGGUGAAAAGAAGAAUAUGAGUAUAGAUUUGGGUCGUUGUUUUAUCGUAUAAUCAAUGACGAGAUUACCUUCUGUGUUUUAUUUUCUGAGUUUUGAUGUAAGUUGUUGAGUUUUUCUGUAUUAUUUUGGUUUUGUUUUGAAGAAGAUGAAUUUAUUGGGUUUUUUGUUUUUUUCUUUUUUUGUAUAUAAUUAGAAGAUGAAAUCAUCUUUGACCCUUA
Long non-coding RNA from Cicer arietinum (chickpea), 1309 nucleotides. RefSeq lists it as uncharacterized. NCBI's taxonomy places the organism in Eukaryota, Viridiplantae, Streptophyta, Magnoliopsida, Fabales, Fabaceae. The record is from RefSeq and is a predicted model, not a curated record.